RNAcentral lists this ribosomal RNA (254 nucleotides) under uncultured bacterium. Its description in RNAcentral is "partial 16S ribosomal RNA". It matches the Rfam family "Bacterial small subunit ribosomal RNA", at positions 524 to 776 of the family's 1533-position model. The record is from RNAcentral.
UACAGAGGUCCCAAGCGUUGUUCGGAUUCAUUGGGCGUAAAGGGUGCGUAGGCGGCGCGGUAAGUCGGUGGUGAAAUCCUGGAGCUCAACUCCAGAACUGCCUUCGAUACUGGGAGUCUUCGAGUCCGGGAGAGGUGAGUGGAACUGCGAGUGUAGAGGUGAAAUUCGUAGAUAUUCGCAAGAACACCAGUGGCGAAGGCGGCUCACUGGCCCGGUACUGACGCUGAGGUGCGAAAGCGUGGGGAGCAAACAGG